CUCUGUUGUCAUGGAGACCAGGGCUGGGAUCACAGAGUCUCCCACCCCCUUGUCCUCCUCUUCAGCCUGAGCCUCACGUCGGGAAAAGACCCAAUGAGAGCCGUCGCCAGCGUCUCCACGUGGGGCCGUACCACAGCCUCAAACAUGCAUCCGGGACAGGAGGAGGGGCGCACCCAAACUGCCAGACAGAACUGCCGCAGCUUCUGGGAAUCAGCACUUUCAAAAACAAAAAUUGCGUGGUUAUUUUACGAGUAGCCCCGUCAUCUCUAGGACGUUACAGGUGGUUGGGGAAGCCCUGCGUCAGGAGGUGUGCUGGAGUCAUUGACGCCUUCACCCAGAGCUCGCUGAGCCGCUGCUGUGGGCCAGGCAGGGGCAGCGCGGGCCCUGGCGUAGAGCAGCGGGCUGCACACAGCCCUGGACACGGCGACCUCCGGCAGUCGAGUUGGCACCCUGAGUCGGCCUGCGACGGGGCGUGUGAGCCGGAAAGGUUCCUCAUCUAUGAAAGGAAUUACAGUGAGGGAGAAACGGGAAGCUGUGGUCCCUGGCACCUGGAAGCCCUGCAUAAAGGCCUCUUGAACUCUGAGUGGACAGCAAGCUGGUCCAGCAGGAGGCGAAGUCAACAACAACAGCCACGGCGAAUGCUGCUCAGAGCUUGCUCCACGUCGCGCUCCUUGAAGUACAGGCUUUGUUGCUUCCAGUCUUCGGCUGUGAUAGAUAGUGUCACCUGGAUGUCACUCACACAUGGGCAAGUCUGUGUAAGACACGGUCCUAUUUCAGGGUUGAAUGGUGUGUGCAUUUUAAAGUUGUGAUGGUCUCUGCCUAAUUGCCCUCCUACAGUUUGCACCAGCAGUGUACACUUCCAGCAGCCACGUAGGAGAGCAGGGCCAGGCCUGAGACACUGAGCGAGGUGAGGAUGCCCAGGGAUGUCCCUCCCUUUAAGGCGAGUGUCCAGGACUAGGGUGUCCUGGGAGGGCUGACUUUCAAUACUGGGCUGACCACCUUCAGCAUCACCAGAACAGUAACAGCCAUUCAGAGCAGCUCUGACUGCCUGACAGGCACAGACGGCGCUUUUCAUUGUCACAGUUGACACGUCCCAGGAGGAAGUGGC
This 1108-nucleotide long non-coding RNA is filed under the name Equus caballus (horse). Its description in RNAcentral is "lncRNA (ENSECAG00000034827.2)". Lineage: Eukaryota; Metazoa; Chordata; Mammalia; Perissodactyla; Equidae. The record is from RNAcentral.